This 346-nucleotide ribosomal RNA is filed under the name uncultured bacterium. RNAcentral's name for it is "partial 16S ribosomal RNA". It matches the Rfam family "Bacterial small subunit ribosomal RNA", at positions 338 to 701 of the family's 1533-position model. The record is from RNAcentral.
CCUACGGGAGGCAGCAGUGGGGGAUAUUGCACAAUGGGGGAAACCCUGAUGCAGCGACGCCGCGUGAGGGAAGAAGGAUUUCGGUAUGGAAAGCUCGAUCAGCAGGGAAGAAAAUGACAGUACAUGAGCAAGAAGCCCCGGCUAACGACGUGCCAGCAGCCGCGGUAAGACGUAGGGGGCAAGCGUGAUCCGGAUUUACUUGGUGUAAAGGGAGCGUAGACGGUUAGGGAAGUCUGGAGUGAAAGCCCGGGGCCCACCCCCGGGACUGCUUUGGAAACUGUGUAACUGGAGUACAGGAGGGGCCGGCGGAAUUCCUGGUGUAGCGGUGAACUGCUUAGAUCUCAGG